Molecule: ribosomal RNA, 465 nt
Filed under: Vreelandella stevensii
Lineage: Bacteria; Pseudomonadati; Pseudomonadota; Gammaproteobacteria; Oceanospirillales; Halomonadaceae
Description: partial 16S ribosomal RNA
Rfam family: Bacterial small subunit ribosomal RNA
Source: RNAcentral
CCUACGGGCGGCUGCAGUGGGGAAUAUUGGACAAUGGGGGCAACCCUGAUCCAGCCAUGCCGCGUGUGUGAAGAAGGCCCUCGGGUUGUAAAGCACUUUCAGUGAGGAAGAACGCCUGGUGGUUAAUACCCAUCAGGAAAGACAUCACUCACAGAAGAAGCACCGGCUAACUCCGUGCCAGCAGCCGCGGUAAUACGGAGGGUGCGAGCGUUAAUCGGAAUUACUGGGCGUAAAGCGCGCGUAGGUGGCUUGAUAAGCCGGUUGUGAAAGCCCCGGGCUCAACCUGGGAACGGCAUCCGGAACUGUCAAGCUAGAGUGCAGGAGAGGAAGGUAGAAUUCCCGGUGUAGCGGUGAAAUGCGUAGAGAUCGGGAGGAAUACCAGUGGCGAAGGCGGCCUUCUGGACUGACACUGACACUGAGGUGCGAAAGCGUGGGUAGCAAACAGGAUUGGAUACCCGAGUAGUC